RNAcentral lists this ribosomal RNA (216 nucleotides) under Nocardia cyriacigeorgica. RNAcentral describes it as "partial 16S ribosomal RNA". It matches the Rfam family "Bacterial small subunit ribosomal RNA", at positions 1322 to 1533 of the family's 1533-position model. Lineage: Bacteria; Bacillati; Actinomycetota; Actinomycetes; Mycobacteriales; Nocardiaceae. The record is from RNAcentral.
GAAGUUGGAGUCGCUAGUAAUCGCAGAUCAGCAACGCUGCGGUGAAUACGUUCCCGGGCCUUGUACACACCGCCCGUCACGUCAUGAAAGUCGGUAACACCCGAAGCCGGUGGCCUAACCCCUUGUGGGAGGGAGCCGUCGAAGGUGGGAUCGGCGAUUGGGACGAAGUCGUAACAAGGUAGCCGUACCGGAAGGUGCGGCUGGAUCACCUCCUCU